This 253-nucleotide unclassified non-coding RNA is filed under the name uncultured Micrococcaceae bacterium. Its description in RNAcentral is "contains 16S-23S intergenic spacer region". It matches the Rfam family "Bacterial small subunit ribosomal RNA", at positions 524 to 776 of the family's 1533-position model. Lineage: Bacteria; Bacillati; Actinomycetota; Actinomycetes; Micrococcales; Micrococcaceae. The record is from RNAcentral.
UACGUAGGUGGCAAGCGUUGUCCGGAAUUAUUGGGCGUAAAGCGCUCGUAGGCGGUGUGUCACGUCUGCCGUGAAAACCUGCGGCUUAACCCCGGGUGUGCAGUGGGUACGGGCAGACUAGAGUGCAGUAGGGGAGACCGGAAUUCCUGGUGUAGCGGUGAAAUGCGCAGAUAUCAGGAGGAACACCGAUGGCGAAGGCAGGUCUCUGGGCUGUUACUGACGCUGAGAAGCGAAAGCAUGGGGAGCGAACAGG